AUUGAACGCUGGCGGCAGGCCUAACACAUGCAAGUCGAACGGUAACAGGAGGAAGCUUGCUUCUUUGCUGACGAGUGGCGGACGGGUGAGUAAUGUCUGGGAAACUGCCUGAUGGAGGGGGAUAACUACUGGAAACGGUAGCUAAUACCGCAUAACGUCGCAAGACCAAAGAGGGGGACCUUCGGGCCUCUUGCCAUCGGAUGUGCCCAGAUGGGAUUAGCUUGUUGGUGGGGUAACGGCUCACCAAGGCGACGAUCCCUAGCUGGUCUGAGAGGAUGACCAGCCACACUGGAACUGAGACACGGUCCAGACUCCUACGGGAGGCAGCAGUGGGGAAUAUUGCACAAUGGGCGCAAGCCUGAUGCAGCCAUGCCGCGUGUAUGAAGAAGGCCUUCGGGUUGUAAAGUACUUUCAGCGGGGAGGAAGGGAGUAAAGUUAAUACCUUUGCUCAUUGACGUUACCCGCAGAAGAAGCACCGGCUAACUCCGUG
RNAcentral lists this ribosomal RNA (490 nucleotides) under uncultured bacterium. RNAcentral describes it as "partial 16S ribosomal RNA". It matches the Rfam family "Bacterial small subunit ribosomal RNA", at positions 30 to 507 of the family's 1533-position model. The record is from RNAcentral.